RNAcentral lists this ribosomal RNA (508 nucleotides) under uncultured bacterium. RNAcentral's name for it is "partial 16S ribosomal RNA". It matches the Rfam family "Bacterial small subunit ribosomal RNA", at positions 28 to 507 of the family's 1533-position model. The record is from RNAcentral.
GACGAACGCUGGCGGCGUGCCUAAUACAUGCCAGUCGAACGCUUCUUUCCUCCCGAGUGCUUGCACUCAAUUGGAAAGAGGAGUGGCGGACGGGUGAGUAACACGUGGGUAACCUACCCAUCAGAGGGGGAUAACACUUGGAAACAGGUGCUAAUACCGCAUAACAGUUUAUGCCGCAUGGCAUAAGAGUGAAAGGCGCUUUCGGGUGUCGCUGAUGGAUGGACCCGCGGUGCAUUAGCUAGUUGGUGAGGUAACGGCUCACCAAGGCCACGAUGCAUAGCCGACCUGAGAGGGUGAUCGGCCACACUGGGACUGAGACACGGCCCAGACUCCUACGGGAGGCAGCAGUAGGGAAUCUUCGGCAAUGGACGAAAGUCUGACCGAGCAACGCCGCGUGAGUGAAGAAGGUUUUCGGAUCGUAAAACUCUGUUGUUAGAGAAGAACAAGGACGUUAGUAACUGAACGUCCCCUGACGGUAUCUAACCAGAAAGACACGGCUAACUACGUG